CCCUUAGAUGUUCUGGGCUGCACACGUGCUACACUGGCAGGUUCAGCGAGCUUCAUGCCCUGAUCUGAAAGGAAUGGGAAAUCUUUUCAAAACCUGCCGUGCUUGGGAUAGAUGUUUGCAAUUAUUCAUCUUCAACGAGGAUUGCCUUGUAAGCGCACGCCAUCAGCGUGCAUUGAAUACGACCCUGUAUUCUGUACACACCGCCCGUCGCUCCUACCGAUUGAAGUUUUCGGUGAGUUGACAGGAGGAUUUUUUUGAAACUGGUUCGCCAGUGGAUUUUAGAUCCAAAUGCCAACGAAUCGAUGGCUUUAGAGGAAGGAGAAGUCGUAACA
This 332-nucleotide ribosomal RNA is filed under the name uncultured eukaryote. RNAcentral's name for it is "partial 18S ribosomal RNA". It matches the Rfam family "Eukaryotic small subunit ribosomal RNA", at positions 1470 to 1796 of the family's 1831-position model. The record is from RNAcentral.